UCCGGCUUGUCGCCGGCGGUCCCUUUAGAGUGCCCAACUAAAUGAUGGCAACUAAAGGAGAGGGUUGCGCUCGUUGCGGCACUUAAGCCAACACCUCACGGCACGAGCUGACGACAGCCAUGCAGCACCUGUGCUAGCCCCAAAAGGACACGGGCUUUCACCCGCUUUAACUAGCAUGUCAAGCCUAGGUAAGGUUCUUCGCGUUGCAUCGAAUUAAGCCAUAUGCUCCACCGCUUGUGCGGGUCCCCGCCAAUUCCUUUGAGUUUCAACCUUGCGGUCGUAGUCCCCAGGCGGAUCACUUAAUGCGUUAGCUGCGGCACCGAGGGAAACCCCCCGACACCUAGUGAUCAUCGUUUAGGGCCGAGACUAC
This 370-nucleotide unclassified non-coding RNA is filed under the name uncultured bacterium. Its description in RNAcentral is "contains 16S-23S intergenic spacer region". The record is from RNAcentral.